RNAcentral lists this ribosomal RNA (664 nucleotides) under uncultured bacterium. Its description in RNAcentral is "bacterial SSU rRNA". It matches the Rfam family "Bacterial small subunit ribosomal RNA", at positions 750 to 1399 of the family's 1533-position model. The record is from RNAcentral.
GUGGGGAAAGCGGGGGGAGCAAAACAAGGUUUGGAUACCCUGGUUAUUUCCCCCCCUUAAACGAAGGGAUACUAGGGGGCUGGGGCCUUGCCCCCGGUGCCGUUGUUUAACCCAUUAAUAAUUUCCACCUGGGGAGUACGGCCGCAAGGUUUAAAACUCAAAGGAAUUGACGGGGGCCCCGCACAAGCAAGUGGAGUAUGUGGUUUAAUUUUGACGCAACGCGAAGAACCUUAUCAGGGCUUGACAUCCUCGGAUCGCGGUAGAGAUAUCGUUUUCCACAGAGCAAUCUGUGGACUGAGAGACAGGUGGUGCAUGGUUGUCGUCAGCUCGUGUCGUGAGAUGUUGGGUUAAGUCCCGCAACGAGCGCAACCCCUAUUGUUAGUUGCCAUCAUUUAGUUGGGCACUCUAGCGAGACCGCCGUUGACAAAACGGAGGAAGGUGGGGAUGAGGUCAAAUCAUCAUGCCCCUUAUGUCCUGGGCUACACACGUACUACAAUGGCAGUCACAACGGGCAGCAACACCGCGAGGUGAAGCGAAUCCCCAAAGGCUGUCUCAGUUCAGAUUGCAGGCUGCAACUCGCCUGCAUGAAGCAGGAAUUGCUAGUAAUGGCAGGUCAGCAUACUGCCGUGAAUACGUUCCCGGGCCUUGUACUCACCGCCCGUCA